AUUGAACGCUGGCGGCAGGCUUAACACAUGCAAGUCGAGCGGUAGCACCGUGCAGCUUGCUCCUUGGGUGAUGAGCGGCGGAUGGGUGAGUAAUGUCUGGGCUACUGUCUGCUGGAGGGGGAUAACUACUGGAAACGGUAGCUACUACCUCAUAACGUCUCAUGCCUAAAGAGGGGGACCAUCGUGCCUCUUGUCAGCAGAUGUUCCCAGGUGGGUUGAGCUUGUAGGUGGGGUAAUGGCUCACCUAGGCGACGAUGCCUAGCUGAUCUGAGAGUAUGGCCAGCCACACUGGAAGUGAGACAGGGACCAGACGCCUGCGGGAGGGAGCAGAGUGGAAUAGUGCGCAACAGGCGCAAACCUGAUGCAGCGGGGGCAAGUGUGAGGAAAAAACGUUGGGUGUGGAAAGCACGUUCAGCGAGGGGAAAGGUGGUGAGCUUGAUACGUACAUCGAUUGACGUUACUGGCAGAAGAAGCACCGGCUAACUACGUG
RNAcentral lists this ribosomal RNA (490 nucleotides) under uncultured bacterium. RNAcentral describes it as "partial 16S ribosomal RNA". It matches the Rfam family "Bacterial small subunit ribosomal RNA", at positions 30 to 507 of the family's 1533-position model. The record is from RNAcentral.